GCCGGGCACGGUGGCACGCGCCUGUAGUCCCAGCUACUCGGGAGGCUGAGGUGGGAGGAUCGCUUGAGCCCAGGAGUUCUGGGCUGUAGUGCGCUGUGCCGAUCGGGUGUCUGCACUAAGUUCGGCAUCAAUAUGGUGACCUCCUGGGAGUGGGGGACCACCAGGUUGCCUAAAGAGGGGUGAACCGGCCCAGGUUGGAAAUGGAGCGGGUCAAAACUCCCGUGUUGAUCAGUAGUGGGAUCGUGCCUGUGAAUAGCCACUGCACUCCAGCCUGGGCAACAUAGCAAGACCCCGUCUCU
RNAcentral lists this signal recognition particle RNA (299 nucleotides) under Cebus imitator (Panamanian white-faced capuchin). RNAcentral describes it as "Metazoan signal recognition particle RNA (ENSCCAG00000004556.1)". It matches the Rfam family "Metazoan signal recognition particle RNA". Rfam says of the family: The signal recognition particle (SRP) is a universally conserved ribonucleoprotein. It is involved in the co-translational targeting of proteins to membranes. Lineage: Eukaryota; Metazoa; Chordata; Mammalia; Primates; Cebidae. The record is from RNAcentral.